Molecule: ribosomal RNA, 548 nt
Filed under: Aphyosemion sp. MPO101
Lineage: Eukaryota; Metazoa; Chordata; Actinopteri; Cyprinodontiformes; Nothobranchiidae
Description: partial 16S ribosomal RNA
Rfam family: Bacterial large subunit ribosomal RNA
Source: RNAcentral
GCCUGCCUGUGACGAAAGUUUAACGGCCGCGGUAUUUUGACCGUGCAAAGGUAGCGCAAUCACUUGUCUUUUAAAUAGAGACCUGUAUGAAUGGCAUAACGAGGGCUUAACUGUCUCCUUUUUCCUAUCAAUGAAAUUGAUCUCCCCGUGCAGAAGCGGGGAUUAAAACAUAAGACGAGAAGACCCUAUGGAGCUUAAGUCGCAAGAACAGAACAUGUUAAUUCUUCUAAUUAAAAUAUGAAACCCAUUGAACCCUGUUCCAGUGUCUUUGGUUGGGGCGACCACGGAGUAUCAAAAAACCUCCACGAGGAAUGAAGACACCUCUUUCCAUCUAAGGGUGACAACCCUAAGAACCAGAACUUCUGACCACUCUGAUCCGGCAAAGCCGAUCAACGAACCGAGUUACCCUAGGGAUAACAGCGCAAUCCUCUUUUAGAGUCCAUAUCGACAAGAGGGUUUACGACCUCGAUGUUGGAUCAGGACAUCCUAAUGGUGCAGCCGCUAUUAAGGGUUCGUUUGUUCAACGAUUAAAGUCCUACGUGAUCUGA